RNAcentral lists this ribosomal RNA (667 nucleotides) under Paenibacillus sp. PDD-7b-6. RNAcentral describes it as "bacterial SSU rRNA". It matches the Rfam family "Bacterial small subunit ribosomal RNA", at positions 57 to 704 of the family's 1533-position model. The record is from RNAcentral. Lineage: Bacteria; Bacillati; Bacillota; Bacilli; Caryophanales; Paenibacillaceae.
GCAAGUCGAGCGGAGUUGAUGAGGUGCUUGCACCUUUGAUACUUAGCGGCGGACGGGUGAGUAACACGUGGGUAACCUGCCUUUAAGACUGGGAUAACAUUCGGAAACGAAUGCUAAUACCGGAUACGCGAUACGGUCGCAUGACUGAAUCGGGAAAGAUGGAGCAAUCUAUCACUUAGAGAUGGACCCGCGGCGCAUUAGCUAGUUGGUGAGGUAACGGCUCACCAAGGCGACGAUGCGUAGCCGACCUGAGAGGGUGAUCGGCCACACUGGGACUGAGACACGGCCCAGACUCCUACGGGAGGCAGCAGUAGGGAAUCUUCCGCAAUGGACGAAAGUCUGACGGAGCAACGCCGCGUGAGUGAUGAAGGUUUUCGGAUCGUAAAGCUCUGUUGCCAGGGAAGAAUGCUUGGGAGAGUAACUGCUCUCAAGGUGACGGUACCUGAGAAGAAAGCCCCGGCUAACUACGUGCCAGCAGCCGCGGUAAUACGUAGGGGGCAAGCGUUGUCCGGAAUUAUUGGGCGUAAAGCGCGCGCAGGCGGCCUUGUAAGUCUGUUGUUUAAACUCGGGGCUCAACCCCGAGUCGCAAUGGAAACUGCAAAGCUUGAGUACAGAAGAGGAAAGUGGAAUUCCACGUGUAGCGGUGAAAUGCGUAGAGAUGUGGAGG